UCAAUUACGAUGAUAGGAAGUAGUAGCAAGCACGUUUUUUUUAGAGAGUCAGCGGGUGGUGGAAGCUGAUAAAAGCACUUGUGAAUCCGUCCUUGAGUAGCGAUAUCGAACUAAUAGUAGAUAUUUGCCGGUUGAAAAGCCGUUAUACGAUAGAAGAGGUUUAGGCAUUCGUGUCUAAACAAUUAGGGUGGCAACGCGGGUAGCUCUCGUCCCUUUU
This 217-nucleotide non-coding RNA is filed under the name Caryophanon tenue. RNAcentral's name for it is "T-box sequence". It matches the Rfam family "T-box leader". From Rfam's summary of the family: Uncharged tRNA acts as the effector for transcription antitermination of genes in the T-box leader family. T-boxes are found upstream of many aminoacyl-tRNA synthetase genes and some amino acid biosynthetic genes usually in Gram-positive bacteria. The record is from RNAcentral. Lineage: Bacteria; Bacillati; Bacillota; Bacilli; Caryophanales; Caryophanaceae.